This 403-nucleotide ribosomal RNA is filed under the name Fusobacteriota bacterium. RNAcentral's name for it is "Fusobacteria bacterium partial 16S ribosomal RNA". It matches the Rfam family "Bacterial small subunit ribosomal RNA", at positions 355 to 776 of the family's 1533-position model. The record is from RNAcentral. Lineage: Bacteria; Fusobacteriati; Fusobacteriota.
UGGGGAAUAUUGCACAAUGGAGGGAACUCUGAUGCAGCGACGCCGCGUGAACGAAGAAGGCUUUCGAGUCGUAAAGUUCUUUCAUAUGGGAAGAUAAUGACGGUACCAUAAGAAAAAGCCCCGGCUAACUACGUGCCAGCAGCCUGGGUAAUACGUAGGGGGCUAGCGUUGUCCGGAAUCACUGGGCGUAAAGGGUUUGCAGGCGGAAAUGCAAGUCAGGUGUAAAAGGCAGUAGCUUAACUACUGUAAGCAUUUGAAACUGCAUAUCUUAAGAAGAAUGGAGAUAAGUGGAAUUUUUAGUGUAGCAGUGAAAUGCGUUGAUAUUAAAAAGAAUGCCGGUGGCGAGGGCGACUUACUGGGCACAUUCUGACGCUGAGGAACGAGAGCGUGGGAAGCAAACAGG